AUUUAUUAUGUCCACACUAUCUAUUACAUAAACAAGACUUCAAUACUCUUGCUGACCUCCUGGUCUACCCUGUACCUGCAAACCUGGGGGAUUAGGGAGAGGGGUGAGCUACUAGAGCCCAGUGAGCAGAAUAAUAAAACAUUUAAAACAUAUGAUAACAUGGAAUGCAUCACAUCACAGCUAAUCACAUCAAGGAUGAACUUGUCACCAAUAGCCCUCUACAUAGUCCAACUGUGCCAGAACGUAGAAUGGGUCCUGGUCUUUCUCUUACAUAACAUAGCAUAACAUAACAG
This 293-nucleotide long non-coding RNA is filed under the name Manihot esculenta (cassava). RNAcentral describes it as "long non-coding RNA (MESC_LNC007475)". Lineage: Eukaryota; Viridiplantae; Streptophyta; Magnoliopsida; Malpighiales; Euphorbiaceae. The record is from RNAcentral.